UCCAGACUCCUACGGGAGGCAGCAGUGGGGGAUAUUGCACAAUGGGCGAAAGCCUGAUGCAGCAACGCCGCGUGAAGGAAGAAGGCCUUCGGGUCGUAAACUUCUGUCCUUGGGGAAGAAGAACUGACGGUACCCAAGGAGGAAGCCCCGGCUAACUACGUGCCAGCAGCCGCGGUAAUACGUAGGGGGCAAGCGUUAUCCGGAUUUACUGGGUGUAAAGGGGGCGCAGACGGCGAUGCAAGCCAGGAGUGAAAGCCCGGGGCCCAACCCCGGGACUGCUCUUGGAACUGCGUGGCUGGAGUGCAGGAGGGGCAGGCGGAAUUCCUGGUGUAGCGGUGAAAUGCGUAGAUAUUAGGAGGAACACCAGUGGCGAAGGCGGCCUGCUGGACGAUGACUGACGUUGAGGCUCGAAAGCGUGGGGAGCAAACAGGAUUAGAUACCCCUGUA
This 447-nucleotide ribosomal RNA is filed under the name uncultured bacterium. Its description in RNAcentral is "bacterial SSU rRNA". It matches the Rfam family "Bacterial small subunit ribosomal RNA", at positions 330 to 792 of the family's 1533-position model. The record is from RNAcentral.